UAUUUAUGUAAUUCUCAAAUCUUUUGGCCACGACUGUAUAUAUAGAGAGAGGAAACAGAAGUUCAGUGGCAGUAACAGCUGUUAUCAAAAAUGUACAGUAGGUGGCGAUAUUUGCCACUUCCACCAAGGCGAAGAAGAAAGGACGUAAAGUCAGCAGUCACUCCAACGUGGUUGAUACACGUGUGAGGAGAGGAUAAUUAUCAGCAGCUGGAAGAACACACCAGUAUAGAAGAACAGUGCCCUUGGAUUUUUAUUUAUAUUUUUACAAUAGAAUCCACGUUAAUUUCAUAGCCACUACAUUUAGUUUGGUUAUUGUCAAACCGUAGGCUACAGCACACUCAGUAUGAAUCCUGAGCUUUAUAGCAGCUUGCAAUAUUCUAAGUGGUAUUAAAUUUUAAUUGUGUUUAAGUGGAUUUAAAAAUAAAGGACAAAUUCUUACACUGGAAGUCUCAUGAUUGCACUGUAGUUCUGCUGAAUGGUUUUAAAUAACUGAUAAACUUUAAAUUUUGAUAAUUUAAAAUAAGAUAAAUGCAAUAAAGCUUCAAAUUGUUAUCAAAUUUUGACCAUUAACACAUUUAAUGCAUAUAAGAGACUGGGGCUAGUUGGCACAAAAGCUACAAUCUCUGUAAUUUGAUUUUUUUGUCUGCGAUUUUGUAUUUUGGUAUGUUUUGUAACUUCCUGUAGAUGUUCAGUAAAUAAGCAAACACAUUAAAAAAA
This is a long non-coding RNA of Cyprinus carpio (common carp), 717 nucleotides long. RefSeq lists it as uncharacterized. The record is from RefSeq and is a predicted model, not a curated record. Lineage: Eukaryota; Metazoa; Chordata; Actinopteri; Cypriniformes; Cyprinidae.